Molecule: long non-coding RNA, 348 nt
Filed under: Olea europaea (common olive)
Lineage: Eukaryota; Viridiplantae; Streptophyta; Magnoliopsida; Lamiales; Oleaceae
Description: long non-coding RNA (OEUR_LNC014007)
Source: RNAcentral
GGGAUGCCGAGGGGGUACCGGAGGAGGAUAGGGUAUUGGAGCUGGAGGUGGUACCCGUGCACGGGAUACCCGAGGAUGUCGAGGGGGCACCGGAGGAGGAGAGGGUACCGAAGGUGGAGGUGGUACCCGAGAAGACGCCAGACUCGCCGGUCGUGGUCUUUGUGUCGGAGGAGGUGGUCCCGACAGCGGGCGAGGGGGUCGUCCCGAUGGCUGGGGAGAUGGAGAUUCCCGAGGCACAUGAGGAGCGGGUGGUCGGCAAGAGGCCAAGGGUGCCAUCACAGUACGUUCUUUCUCCGUUUACCGCAGAGGCGAAGAGGAGAAGGUUCGUCGACGGGACGCACCCGAAUU